Molecule: small nuclear RNA, 106 nt
Organism: Hyaena hyaena (striped hyena)
Lineage: Eukaryota; Metazoa; Chordata; Mammalia; Carnivora; Hyaenidae
Source: RefSeq, a predicted model, not a curated record
GUGCUUGCUUCAGCAGCACAUGUAUACUAAAGUUGGAAUGAUACAGAGGUUAACAUGGCCGCUGUGCAAAGAUGACACACAAGUUUGUGAAGCUUUCCAUAUUUAA